GAUGAACGCUGGCGGCGUGCUUAACACAUGCAAGUCGAACGGAAAGGCUCCUGCUUGCGGGGGUACUCGAGUGCCGAACGGGUGAGUAACACGUGGGUGAUCCGCCCCGCAUUUCGGGAUAAGCCUGGGAAACUGGGUCUAAUACCGGAUAGGACAGUGGUUUGGAUGCCAUUGUGGAAAGUUUUUUCGGUGUGGGGCGAGCUAGCGGCCUAUCAGCUUGUUGGUGGGGUACUGGCCUACCAAGGCGUCGACGGGUAGCACGCCUUGGAGGGUGUGCGGCCGCAUUGAGCCUGAGGGACGGCCCAGGCACGUACGGGAGACAGCAGGUGGAAAGUUUGCACAAGGCGCGCAAGCCGAAUGCAGCGGCGCCGCGGGGGGGAAAACGCCCUUCGGGUUGAAAACCCCGUACCCCAGUGACUGACCGUAUUGUGACGGUACCUAGAGAAAAAGCACCGGCUAACUACGUG
RNAcentral lists this ribosomal RNA (467 nucleotides) under uncultured bacterium. RNAcentral's name for it is "partial 16S ribosomal RNA". It matches the Rfam family "Bacterial small subunit ribosomal RNA", at positions 28 to 507 of the family's 1533-position model. The record is from RNAcentral.